CUUUAAAUAUAGUGCCCAGAGCAAGACUUUCAAAGAAGGUGACUGGUGAGAAUAAUUGGGGAGCUGUUCAUUGGAUUUAGAUCAGGUUUGUUUGAGGUGAUGCCAGUACUUCUACAUCUAUAGCUUCACCUGUAGGGUUGGCAGAUUCUUUUAUGGCUUAUAUCAGCCCAUUCCUUUUUUAUUGCAAAAAAGUACUAUAUCACUCAAGUUUCUGUAACAAAUAUUUUAUAAGCCAAAGUGAUUUCAUUAGACAUUUUAUAUUUAUAAGGCUUGUCAUAGAACUUCUCUGAAAGUCUAUCCCAUUGAUAAGAGACUAUAUAUCUUUAAAAAAAAUUUCACCCUAACUAGUUAUUUUUCCAACACUGACUUUUUAACGUGGUUACUGGGAUAUAAAUGUUCUCUGAAAUUCUCCUGGAUGUCUUGCUAAGAAGUUAGCAUCCAGCAUGACACUUUGAAUUAAUUCUCAAAGUACUUAUGCUAAUAAGAUUAUCUCCCCUCAAGGCUUUUCAUUAAGUAUAAUUGUAAAAAUUACAUUUCUUUAACUAAGGUCAGUAAAAGAAAUUAAAGUAUUUAAUUUCUGAUUCCCAUAUAAUUAAGUGAAGAAUGGAGGAGAAGAGUAUUCCAGCUGGAGCGAACAGUGUACAGGUACAGGUUGUCCCUGAGGUGAAAAGGGGAUCGUCUUUUUCAAGGAACAGGAAGAAAAGAGUACAGCGUGAGUGUAAUGAGUAAGAGAAAGAGGAACAUCAAACUAUCUAUAAAGUUUAGCAGGGGUUAGCCUACGUUUGCCUUUGAGGCCAAGGUAAGAAUUUUGGCUUUUAUUCUAAGUCCAAAGGGAAGCCAUUGAUGAGGCCUAUCCAUUGGGAGUUCUCUGUGAAGACAACUUUGAUUCAAAUUUAUCAUAAAACUGACUCAAGAAAUACACUGUAUUCUGAUUUAUCCAUUGAUUUCUUAGAUAUUUAUUAAGCCUAAGUAUUUAAGUCUACUCAACUAUUAAGAAAUCAACAAAAUGGCAUUUCUACACCUUUAAAGCUGUGGGAAUAUUUGACCAAUCUUGAGCCAUUGAAGAAUGUAUGAUGGUGUUCUCUGGAGGACAGUCAACUUUGACAGAACUAGCUCAAGAAUCUCUUGAGCUCUGUUUUACUGGCUCAUGCUACUCUCCAUAUUUCUGUUUCUUCAUUGUUAAUUUUUACUUUUCUCUGCUUCUCUGAAUUCAUCUUCCCAUUGUAUCCUCCCAACUUCUCUAUCUUUUCCCUGGAAUAAUUGGAACUUGAGAUCUCAUCUUAAGUGUGCAGGAUAACAUAAAGGAUAAGAAUAUGGGCUAUUCAAAUUCCAUCUCUCCUAUUCUUACCUGGAUGAUAUAAGUCCUACAGCCUCAGACUCCUCACCUGUAAAUAGGGGAUGUUAACAGUACCUACUUAUAGAAAUAAACAUGCAAGCAAGGGGAAAUAUUUAAUGCAUGGUCUGGAAUGUGGCACAUUCUCAAAGAUAUUAGUAAUAGAUCUUCGAUUCCCAUUUAAAUUUUUCAUUUAUAAAGUCACCUCAUAUUUUGAGCUCCUUCAGUUCAAGGAAUAGAUCAUUUAUUUUUCAAAUCUAUUAUAUCACCUUGCAUUCUGUUGCCACUCUGUAAAUAUUUGCUGUCUGCUUGAUACAGCUAGGAAAUGCCAUAAGAUUCAAAAAGAGGGAAAAAUAACCCCUGAAGGAUUGAUAAGAAAACCCUUCAAGUCAAUGGAUGGAUGCAACUCAAUCUUUGCAGACUUGGCAACAUUUGACUAGGAAAAGAAAAGGGAGGAAGGCAUUCUAAUUGACAGAACUGUCAGAAAACCUGUGAAACGAGAAUGUGUACAGCUUGUUAAGUGAUAAGCAAGUAUUCUAUACUGUUGAAAGUGGAGGAUUUGUGUGUGGAUGGAUUUGGAGAGGUAUGUUAGCAUGGAACUAAUGAGCACCUUGAUCAACUAGCUACUAAGUAUGAGAUUUUUCCUGCAGGCUUGGGGGAACCAUUGACAAUUUUGACAUAAAAGAGACAUGAGGAAAGUAGUGUUUCAUCAAGGUUGAUCUGGUGAUGCUAUGCAGAUUUAUUUGGGAAACAAGUUUUGUGGCUACUGUGUUCCCUAAAUUAGGGCAGCAGUCAUGGAAACAGAAGAGCUGAGCCAAGAGAAACCUGGCAGACUUGGCAGUUGAAUCUAAAGUAAAAGAAAACAAUAAACACUUUGAAGUUGAAAUUAUUAUGAGGAUGAAUUGGACCUAGCUUUCCUAUGUAUAUAUGUGAAUACACUACAGUGAAUCUCACCAUUGUGUACAUCCACAAGACUGCGAUCCUAAUUAGAAUAAGAUGUACUCCAUGUUUGUAUAAAUAUGUCAAAAUAUACUCUACUGUUAUUUAUAACAAAAAGAACAAAUUUUAAAAGGUAAAAAAGAAAAAAAAUUAUCAUGAGGCACAAAAAAGCAGAUCACGUCACCUCUUUGCCUUAAUAGUUCUACAUUUAAGGCAGAAUUUAAUAAAAUAUAAUCUCUUAGCUUCACAGGGAUGAGAAGAACUUAAGCAAGAUUCUUGGUAUGUAAUAUGAAUAUGAUAACAGAUGCAAGAUCACUUAUCCCCUUAUCUAGCCCAAAGGAAAGCAGUUCAUAGAUGUUUGUUCAUUUUUAAACCGUUAGAAAUAGAGCCUUAUAGACAAAUCAAAGCAGUUUGAUAAGGCAAGAAUAGCUAAGGGAAAGGAUAAAAGAAGAUACUGGACAUAUUUUUUGUCUUUAAAUUUGAUUUACAGAUGAAUAGAUCAAACGAAGAUAUUUCCUGCCCUUGGGUAUGAUAGAAUACAGGAAGGAAGUUACUAGUUAUCAUUGUUGGUGGCUUCCCAGUCUUUCUUCUUUCAUCAGUAAAAACCUAAAUUAAUAGGAGAACUUUAUGUAUGCAAACAUCCUUGUUUCUCUUACCCAACAAAAUCUAAAAUCUUUCAUAAUUAGAUUAUUAAUCCUUUAAAUGCCAUUGGGAAGAAGUUAUACACAUUUAAGUAAGUGGACAGUUAUUCUUAGUAAAAUACAUAAUCCACUCCUUAGUAAUAAAUACAUAAUCAGACCACUUCUAUGGUCCCCAAAGUGGUGAUUUCCCUCCUGAUACCACUUCAAUUUUGGCCAUAGACCCAACUUUCAAUUUCCAGGAAUCACUUCUAGUGGCUUUUCUGAGGGCCUUUGUAAUUAUAAAACUUUUCUUUUGUUAUUUCUAUAAGCUCUCUUCCAAAUAACUAAGAAUACCUUAAUAUAUAGACAAUAAAAUGAAUCCACAUCACAACCUUAUGUUAUCUGGCAGGAUAAAAUUAUUCAAAGCUAAGAGGUGACUUAUCUUUGUACUGACUGAUAGUAGCUCAAUGAGUCAUAUUAAAAAGUGGAGAAUCUGCAUUUUCCUAAUAUUAAGGAUAUUGAAUUUUUUUCAUAUACUUGUUGGCCAUUUAUAUUUCUUCUAUUGAGAAAUGUCUAUUUAAUUCAUUUGCCCACUUAUUUAUUGGGCUAUUUAUUUUUCUGAUGUGUUUUUAACACUUUAUACAUUCUGCAUAUUAAUCUAUUGUUAGAAGAGUAGCUGGCAAAGAUUUUGUUUCAUUUCAGUGUUAUAUAGAAUAGAGGAAGGAUAUUGAGAAGGAGGGAGAAGGAGAGGACAUGGGGGAGAAAUCUACCAAAUUAUGCUAUGUGUAUAUGGUAUCUGCACAAAUAAAUAACACACUGAAUACAGCUUUUAUAUAUAAUGAUAACGCACUAACUAAAAUAAUAAUGAUAAAAACAGGAGGUGGAUUACUUGAGUAGAGCAAUCAGAUAAGGAGAGAGAGGAGGGGAGAAAAAGGGAAUGAGAUGAAUCAAAUUAUGUUAUAUGCAUGUACACAUAUGGCAUAAUGAUUCCAGAUAUUAUAUAAAAUUAUAAUGUACCAAUUAAAAAUGAGGAAUUCCCACCAAAACAGCUAAAUUUUAAAUGGAUUUCAAUUCCUAGUGUGUAUGAGGACAAUAUAUGGAAUUAUUUAAACUCUUACACCUUGUUGAUGGAAAUGUAAACUGGAACAACCAUGUUGCAAAACUCUUUGGCAGUCUUUAGUCAAGCUAAACAUAUGUAUGUCCUCUGACUAACUUCACUUGAUUUGGUUGAUGGUUACCUGAGUGUAUGUAAAAUUUUAUUGAGCUAUUUCCUUGGAAGUAUGUAAAUGUAAUACCAAUUAAAAUUAUUUUUUAAAACUAUAAAUGUGGCUGGGUGUGUUAGUGCACAUCUAGCAGCUUGGGAGGCUCAGGCAAG
Molecule: long non-coding RNA, 4267 nt
Filed under: Marmota monax (woodchuck)
Lineage: Eukaryota; Metazoa; Chordata; Mammalia; Rodentia; Sciuridae
Source: RNAcentral